AUUGAACGCUGGCGGCAGGCCUUACACAUGCAAGUCGAGCGAGAAAGCCCUUCGGGGUGAGUAGAGCGGCGGACGGGUGAGUAACGCGUAGGAAUCUACCCAGUAGUGGGGGACAACAUGGGGAAACCCAUGCUAAUACCGCAUACGCCCUUAGGGGGAAAGCGGGGGACCUUCGGGCCUCGCGCUAUUGGAGGAGCCUGCGUUGGAUUAGCUAGUUGGUGAGGUAAAGGCUCACCAAGGCGACGAUCCAUAGCUGGUCUGAGAGGAUGAUCAGCCACACUGGGACUGAGACACGGCCCAGACUCCUACGGGAGGCAGCAGUGGGGAAUAUUGCGCAAUGGAGGCAACUCUGACGCAGCCAUGCCGCGUGUGUGAAGAAGGCCUUAGGGUUGUAAAGCACUUUCAAUUUGGGAGGAAAAGCUUGUCGUUAAUAGCGGCAAGCCGUGACGUUACCUUUAGAAGAAGCACCGGCUAAC
RNAcentral lists this ribosomal RNA (476 nucleotides) under uncultured bacterium. Its description in RNAcentral is "bacterial SSU rRNA". It matches the Rfam family "Bacterial small subunit ribosomal RNA", at positions 30 to 501 of the family's 1533-position model. The record is from RNAcentral.